RNAcentral lists this small nuclear RNA (24 nucleotides) under Arabidopsis thaliana (thale cress). RNAcentral describes it as "snRNA_06309". Lineage: Eukaryota; Viridiplantae; Streptophyta; Magnoliopsida; Brassicales; Brassicaceae. The record is from RNAcentral.
UGACUGUCGCUAUAAACAGUCGCU